AAGGAAAGUCUGAGAAGUCAUCAUAAUCAGGAGGAACUUAAGGAGACUUAACGAUGAAAUGUAAUGUCAUGUCCUAAAUGGGAUCCUGCAGCAGAAAAUGACAUCAAGCAAAAACUAAGGAAAUCUGAAAUAAGGAAUUGUGAUAACGAAGCAGUAAUUUCCGGUAAUAGCGAGGUGCCAUACACCCCAAGCAAGAAGAUUCCGUAUCUUAUUUGAAUAGUGAGCUCCAGUGCAAUGUUGAAGAGAAGUGAUGAGAGUGGACAGCGUUGCCUUGCUCUCCAUAUUAAGAUACAUGAGAGAUUGUACUUCCUGCUUCAUAAAAGUUAGGUGUGGCCAUGUGACUGAAAAGUGACCAAUUGACCAAUGAAAGGUGAAGUGUGACUGUUUCUGGGCAGAAUAUUUAAGCCUGCGUGUGAUUGGACACCAUCACUUCCCUCUGUGUGGUAAGCUGAAUAAUGGCCCCCCAAAGACGUCCUCUUAAUCCCUGGAACCUGUGAAUAUGUUACCUCACAGGACAGACAGGAUCUCGCAAAUGUGAUUAAGGAUCUUGAGAUAAGGAGAUUAUCCCGGCUUCUCCAGGUGCGCCCAGUGUAAUCACAAGGAUCCUCACAAGAGGGAGGCAGGAGAGGCAGAGUGGAAGAAGAUGUGACGAUGGAGCAGAGGUAACAGAGAGAGAAUUGAAAAUGCUCCACUGCUGGCUGUGAAGAUGGAGGAAGGCGCACAGGCAGCCUCCAGAAGCUGGAAAGGGAGGGAAACAGAUUCUCCCCGAGAGCCUCCGGAAGGAAAACAGUCCUGCCGACACCUUGAUUUUAGCCCAGUGAGACCCAUUUCAGACUGUGACCUUCAUAACUGGAAGACAAUAAAUUUGCA
Molecule: long non-coding RNA, 870 nt
Organism: Balaenoptera musculus (blue whale)
Lineage: Eukaryota; Metazoa; Chordata; Mammalia; Artiodactyla; Balaenopteridae
Exons: 4
Source: RefSeq, a predicted model, not a curated record